GACGAACGCUGGCGGCGUGCCUAACACAUGCAAGUCGAACGGAAAACAUAGCAAUAUGUUUUUAGUGGCGAACGGGUGAGUAACGCGUAGACAACCAACCUUUUUGUGGGGGACAACACUUCGAAAGGAGUGCUAAUACCGCAUACACUCUUGAUGCCGCCUGGUGUUAAGAGGAAAGGAGCUUCAUGGCUUCGCAAAAAGACGGGUCUGCGUCUGAUUAGCUAGUUGGAGGGGUAACGGCCCACCAAGGCGACGAUCAGUAGCCGGCCUGAGAGGAUGGACGGCCACACUGGGACUGAGACACGGCCCAGACUCCUACGGGAGGCAGCAGUGGGGAAUCUUCCGCAAUGGACGAAAGUCUGACGGAGCGACGCCGCGUGAGUGAUGAAGGCCCUUGGGUCGUAAAGCUCUGUCAUCAGGGACGAACGGUCACGUCAGGAAAUGGGCGUGAAUUGACGGUACCUGAGAAGGAAGCCACGGCUAACUACGUGCCAGCAGCCGCAGUA
This 506-nucleotide ribosomal RNA is filed under the name uncultured bacterium. RNAcentral's name for it is "partial 16S ribosomal RNA". It matches the Rfam family "Bacterial small subunit ribosomal RNA", at positions 28 to 522 of the family's 1533-position model. The record is from RNAcentral.